RNAcentral lists this ribosomal RNA (505 nucleotides) under uncultured bacterium. Its description in RNAcentral is "bacterial SSU rRNA". It matches the Rfam family "Bacterial small subunit ribosomal RNA", at positions 15 to 507 of the family's 1533-position model. The record is from RNAcentral.
GAUCAUGGCUCAGGAUGAACGCUAGCUACAGGCUUAACACAUGCAAGGUCGAGGGGAACGACAUUGGAAGCUUGCUUCCGAUGGGCGUCGACCGGCGCACGGGUGAGUAACGCGUAUCCAACCUGCCCACCACUUGGAGAUAACCUUGCGAAAGUAAGACUAAUACCCAAUGACGUCUCUAGAAGACAUCUGAAAGGGAUUAAAGAUUUAUCGGUGAUGGAUGGGGAUGCGUCUGAUUAGCUUGUUGGCGGGGUAACGGCCCACCGAGACGACGAUCAGUAGGGGUUCUGAGAGGAAAGUCCCCCACAUUGGAACUGAGACACGGUCCAAACUCCUACGGGAGGCAGCAGUGAGGAAUAUUGGUCAAUGGGCGAGAGCCUGAACCAGCCAAGUAGCGUGCAGGAUGACGGCCCUAUGGGUUGUAAACUGCUUUUAUAAGGGAAUAAAGUGAGCCUCGUGAGGCUUUUUGCAUGUACCUUAUGAAUAAGGACCGGCUAAUUCCGUG